UACGUAGGGUGCAAGCGUUAAUCGGAAUUACUGGGCGUAAAGCGUGCGCAGGCGGUUUUGUAAGUCUGUCGUGAAAGCCCCGGGCUCAACCUGGGAAUUGCGAUGGAGACUGCAAGGCUUGAAUCUGGCAGAGGGGGGUAGAAUUCCACGUGUAGCAGUGAAAUGCGUAGAGAUGUGGAGGAAUACCGAUGGCGAAGGCAGCCCCCUGGGCCAAUACUGACGCUCAUACACGAAAGCGUGGGGAGCAAACAGG
RNAcentral lists this ribosomal RNA (253 nucleotides) under uncultured bacterium. RNAcentral describes it as "partial 16S ribosomal RNA". It matches the Rfam family "Bacterial small subunit ribosomal RNA", at positions 524 to 776 of the family's 1533-position model. The record is from RNAcentral.